CGGACGGGUGAGUAAUGUAUGGGGAUCUGCCUGAUGGCGGGGGAUAACUACUGGAAACGGUAGCUAAUACCGCAUAAUGUCUACGGACCAAAGCGGGGGACCUCCGGGCCUCGCGCCAUCAGAUGAACCCAUAUGGGAUUAGCUUGUAGGUAAGGUAACGGCUUACCUAGGCGACGAUCCCUAGCUGGUCUGAGAGGAUGAUCAGCCACACUGGAACUGAGACACGGCCCAG
This 232-nucleotide ribosomal RNA is filed under the name uncultured bacterium. RNAcentral's name for it is "partial 16S ribosomal RNA". It matches the Rfam family "Bacterial small subunit ribosomal RNA", at positions 99 to 334 of the family's 1533-position model. The record is from RNAcentral.